GGGCCCGCACAAGCGGUGGAGCAUGUGGUUUAAUUCGAUGAUACGCGAGGAACCUUACCAGGGCUUAAAUGCAGAAUGACAGAUUGGGAAACCAGUCCUUCUUCGGACAUUUUGCAAGGUGCUGCAUGGUUGUCGUCAGCUCGUGCCGUGAGGUGUCAGGUUAAGUCCUAUAACGAGCGCAACCCCUAUCAUUAGUUGCCAGCGGGUAAUGCCGGGAACUCUAAUGAGACUGCCAGCGCAAGCUGCGAGGAAGGUGGGGAUGACGUCAAAUCAUCACGGCCCUUACGGGUUGGGCUACACACGUGCUACAAUGGUAGUGACAAUGGGUUAAUCCCAAAAAGCUAUCUCAGUUCGGAUUGUCGUCUGCAACUCGACGGCAUGAAGUCGGAAUCGCUAGUAAUCGCGUAA
RNAcentral lists this ribosomal RNA (408 nucleotides) under uncultured bacterium. RNAcentral's name for it is "bacterial SSU rRNA". It matches the Rfam family "Bacterial small subunit ribosomal RNA", at positions 917 to 1349 of the family's 1533-position model. The record is from RNAcentral.